CCGGGGUCGAAGGCCCCCGCGGCAGCAGCCGGUGCCCCAGGCUCGGGGAGUGCAGCCCCGAGGUUGCAGGGGGUGCUGAUCGGGGACAGGCUGUACUCCGGGGUGCUCAUCACCUUGGAGAACUGUCUGCUGCCUGAGGACAAGCUCCGCUUCACGCCAUCCAUGUCGAACGGCCUGGACACAGACACGGAGACCGCCCUCCGCGUGGUGGGCUGCGAGCUCAUCCAGGCGGCUGGCACCCUGCUCCGUCUGCCGCAGGUGGCCAUGGCUACCGGGCAGGUGCUGUUCCAGCGGUUCUUUUAUAGCAAGUCCUUUGUGACGCAUUCCAUGGAACAUGUGUCAAUGGCCUGUGUUCACCUAGCCUCCAAAAUAGAAGAAGCUCCAAGACGAAUAAGAGAUGUUAUGAACGUGUUUCAUCGACUUCGACAGCUCAGAGAGAAAAAAAAACCGGUGCCUUUACUACUGGAUCAAGACUAUGUUAACCUAAAGAACCAGAUUAUCAAAGCAGAAAGACGAGUUCUCAAAGAGCUGGGUUUCUGCGUCCACGUUAAACAUCCUCACAAGAUAAUCGUUAUGUACCUUCAGGUGGUAGAAUGUGAGCGGAACCAUCACCUGGUCCAGACGUCAUGGAAUUACAUGAAUGACAGCCUUCGCACCGAUGUUUUCGUGAGGUUCCAGCCCGAGACCAUUGCCUGCGCUUGCAUCUAUCUCGCAGCCCGGGCGCUGGAGAUCCCUCUGCCCAGUCGUCCUCAUUGGUUUCUUUUGUUUGGAGCAACUGAAGAAGAAAUUCAAGAAAUCUGCUUAAAAAUCCUACAGCUCUAUACACGGAAAAAAGUUGAUCUGACUCACCUGGAAGGUGAGGUGGCAAAGAGAAAGCACGCCAUUGAGGAGGCAAAGGCACAAGCCCGGGCCCUGCGCUCUGCAGCUGCACAGGCUGCAGGCAGCACACCUGCCCCCAAGCUGCAGGCCCCCAAAGAAGGUAAGGGGAACAAAGCUUCCCCACUCUCUGUGAAGAGUACCAAGAGGAGAAUUGAGGGCACCAAGAAAACCAAAGCUGACGGCCCCGUGUAUGGCUUACCAAAGGGGCGAGAAAGUCGAAGUCGGAGCAGAAGCCGUGAGCAGAGCUACUCGAGGUUCCCAUCACGAUCUGCUUCUCCUAAGAGGAGGAAGAGUGACAGUGGCUCGACAUCUAGUCGCUCCAAGUCACAGAGCCAUUCUGGGAGCUCGAGCGAUUCCCCGCCAAGAAAGGUGCACCGUAGUGCUUUCUACAAAGGCUCCGAGGUGAAGAGCUCCCGGAAGUCCAAGGACUGCAAAUGUCACACUCAGAAGCCACACAAGUCUCAGAGCCGGAGAUCAUCCGGUUCUCGAAGCCGGUCACGGGAGCAGGCAGACGAUGCUGGAAAAUACAAGAAGAAAAGUCAUCACUAUAGAGAUCAGCCACGGGAGCAUGCGAGGUCACAUGGGCGCACAGGCCAUCAUUAUGAGCGGGACCACCCGGGGCACAGCAGGCACUGCAGGUGA
Molecule: RNA transcript, 1521 nt
Organism: Otolemur garnettii (small-eared galago)
Lineage: Eukaryota; Metazoa; Chordata; Mammalia; Primates; Galagidae
Gene name: cyclin-L2 pseudogene
Exons: 1
Source: RefSeq, a predicted model, not a curated record